Molecule: ribosomal RNA, 424 nt
Filed under: uncultured prokaryote
Description: bacterial SSU rRNA
Rfam family: Bacterial small subunit ribosomal RNA
Source: RNAcentral
UGGGGAAUCUUGGACAAUGGGGGCAACCCUGAUCCAGCGACGCCGCGUGAGUGAAGAAGGCCUUAGGGUUGUAAAGUCCUUUCACCGGUGACGAUAAUGACGGUAGCCGGAGAAGAAGCCCCGGCUAACUCCGUGCCAGCAGCCGCGGUAAUACGGAGGGGGCUAGCGUUGUUCGGAAUUACUGGGCGUAAAGCGCGCGUAGGCGGGCUGUUAAGUCGGGGGUGAAAUCCCGGGGCUCAACCCCGGAACUGCCUUCGAUACUGGCAGCCUAGAGGUCGAGAGAGGUGAGUGGAAUGACGAGUGUAGAGGUGAAAUUCGUAGAUAUUCGUCGGAACACCCGUGGCGAAGGCGGCUCACUGGCUCGAUACUGACGCUGAGGUGCGAAAGCGUGGGGAGCAAACAGGAUUAGAUACCCCCGUAGUCC